CGACCAUCUUGAUGCCAAAGCUCAUUUUAUCAAAAGUGUCAGUUUGCUGCCUUUCUUUGGAUUUGAUGUAUUCACUGCUCAGAAAGUCAGUCAUCGCAGCUGCCCGUCUCCCUCCCUGGUCGCAGUCAGCCAUGAAGUUAUCAAAAUCAUUGAUCCCAAAUCACAGAACGAAUGUUUGACAAUGUCUCUGGAGGACGUGCAGUCCUUGCGCUCAGUCCGUCCCAAGAAAGACAAGCUGCCAUCGGUUGAGAUCACCUUUAGUGGCCAAACUCAACCCAAGACUGUCAGCUUCAGUCUAAAGCAGGCGAAAGAGCUGUGCCACACCAUUGCUGUGAUUAUGGAAGAGGUUGUGAAACCCCCCUACAGCAAUAUGUCCAGUCGAACCGGAACCCCACAUUGAACAAGCAACAUAUUCAAAGCUCA
Molecule: long non-coding RNA, 423 nt
Organism: Carassius auratus (goldfish)
Lineage: Eukaryota; Metazoa; Chordata; Actinopteri; Cypriniformes; Cyprinidae
Exons: 4
Source: RefSeq, a predicted model, not a curated record